CAAUAGCGUAUAUUAACGUUGUUGCAGUUAAAAAGCUCGUAGUUGGAUUUCUGGAGGGAGCGUCGGCCCGUAUUUACGAGUGCGUGACGUCUCUGUCCAUCCUUCGGGAAGGCACGGCAUUGAUUUGUUGUGUCGGAUCGCAUCAUUUACUGUGAAAAAAUUAGAGUGUUCAAAGCAGGCUUUCGCUUGAAUACAUUAGCAUGGAAUAAUAAGAUAGGACUUUGGUGCUAUUUUGUUGGUUGAGCCUAAAGUAAUGAUUAAUAGGGAUAGUUGGGGGCACCUGUAUUGCGUUGUCAGAGGUGAAAUUCUUGGAUUUACGCAAGACAAACAGCUGCGAAAGCGUCUGCCAAGGAUGUUUNCAUUAA
Molecule: ribosomal RNA, 365 nt
Filed under: uncultured eukaryote
Lineage: Eukaryota
Description: partial 18S ribosomal RNA
Rfam family: Eukaryotic small subunit ribosomal RNA
Source: RNAcentral